AGCAGCCGCGGUAAUUCCAGCUCCAAUAGCGUAUAUUAAAGUUGUUGCAGUUAAAAAGCUCGUAGUUGAAUUUUGGGUUUGGCCGAUUGGUCCGUUCUUGUAACGAGUACUGGUCGGUUGGGCCUCACCGCCUGGUGAUACGUAAUGUCCUUUAUUGGGUGUUGCGAGUAGCCAGGACCUUUACCUUGAAAAAAUUAGAGUGUUUAAAGCAGGCUUAUGCCGGAAUACAUUAGCAUGGAAUAAUAGAAUAGGACGAUGAUUCUAUUUUGUUGGUUUCUAGGAGCAUCGUAAUGAUUAAUAGGGAUAGUUGGGGGCAUUAGUAUUCAAUUGUCAGAGGUGAAAUUCUUGGAUUUAUUGAAGACUAACUACUGCGAAAGCAUUUGCCAAGGAUGUUUUCAUUAAUCAAGAACGAAAGUUAGGGGGAUACGAAGACGAUCAGAUACCGUCGUAGUACUUAACCAUAAACUAUGCCGACUAGGGAUCGGGCGAUGUUUGUUUACAAUGACUCG
Molecule: ribosomal RNA, 509 nt
Filed under: uncultured Archaeosporaceae
Lineage: Eukaryota; Fungi; Glomeromycota; Glomeromycetes; Archaeosporales; Archaeosporaceae
Description: SSU rRNA
Rfam family: Eukaryotic small subunit ribosomal RNA
Source: RNAcentral